AGGGCGGGACACGUGGUAUCCUGUCUGAAUAUGGGGGGACCAUCCUCCAAGGCUAAAUACUCCUGACUGACCGAUAGUGAACCAGUACCGUGAGGGAAAGGCGAAAAGAACCCCGGCGAGGGGAGUGAAAAAGAACCUGAAACCGUGUACGUACAAGCAGUGGGAGCACGCUUAGGCGUGUGACUGCGUACCUUUUGUAUAAUGGGUCAGCGACUUAUAUUCUGUAGCAAGGUUAACCGAAUAGGGGAGCCGAAGGGAAACCGAGUCUUAACUGGGCGUUAAGUUGCAGGGUAUAGACCCGAAACCCGGUGAUCUAGCCAUGGGCAGGUUGAAGGUUGGGUAACACUAACUGGAGGACCGAACCGACUAAUGUUGAAAAAUUAGCGGAUGACUUGUGGCUGGGGGUGAAAGGCCAAUCAAACCGGGAGAUAGCUGGUUCUCCCCGAAAGCUAUUUAGGUAGCGCCUCGUGAAUUCAUCUCCGGGGGUAGAGCACUGUUUCGGCAAGGGGGUCAUCCCGACUUACCAACCCGAUGCAAACUGCGAAUACCGGAGAAUGUUAUCACGGGAGACACACGGCGGGUGCUAACGUCCGUCGUGAAGAGGGAAACAACCCAGACCGCCAGCUAAGGUCCCAAAGUCAUGGUUAAGUGGGAAACGAUGUGGGAAGGCCCAGACAGCCAGGAUGUUGGCUUAGAAGCAGCCAUCAUUUAAAGAAAGCGUAAUAGCUCACUGGUCGAGUCGGCCUGCGCGGAAGAUGUAACGGGGCUAAACCAUGCAC
Molecule: ribosomal RNA, 779 nt
Filed under: Escherichia coli
Lineage: Bacteria; Pseudomonadati; Pseudomonadota; Gammaproteobacteria; Enterobacterales; Enterobacteriaceae
Description: partial 23S ribosomal RNA
Rfam family: Bacterial large subunit ribosomal RNA
Source: RNAcentral